GUGGGAUAUAGCCGAGGGUUCAAGAUGCACCAAAACAAAACAAAUUUGGACAUCCUACGAUUCGGCAAUUAAAUAUGCGAAGGAUUAUUAAAUUAAUGGUUAGAGUGGCCUCAAUAAUAAGAGUAAUUUGCCUCCCUGCUGGGAUCUUCGCAUUUACAAUAACAACAAAAUCUUCACUUUCUAAUAAUAAUAUGCGAAAUCGAAAUCAAAAAUUGAACCAAGAAAAAUGAAAAACUUGGUCAGUAAUAAGAUCUAGAUCUCAAUUCAAUAUCCGAAGGCAAACUUGAAUAAACAACGCAUUGAUUUAUGGCGUCUCCUCCAUAGGAA
RNAcentral lists this long non-coding RNA (327 nucleotides) under Medicago truncatula (barrel medic). Its description in RNAcentral is "lncRNA gene45893". The record is from RNAcentral. Lineage: Eukaryota; Viridiplantae; Streptophyta; Magnoliopsida; Fabales; Fabaceae.